RNAcentral lists this non-coding RNA (160 nucleotides) under Globicatella sulfidifaciens DSM 15739. The record is from RNAcentral. Lineage: Bacteria; Bacillati; Bacillota; Bacilli; Lactobacillales; Aerococcaceae.
GAGAAGGCUUAUUUCGAAAAGUAGAAUGAAGGGGUAACGUCCGGAAAUACUUUCUUUAAGCUCCGCCAUGCGAUUUGUUACGUAAAUAAUAGAUGGUAUGAAGCGCGGUAAAGUCGGCAGAAAAAUUUUGCAGUGAUUUGAUAUGCCGGAAGUCGGUUAA